UGACAGAAGACACUCCCUCCAACAAAUGAAACGCACCCUUGGAGCGAGGCGAGCAAAUUAAUUACUUAAAAAAAAAAAAAGUUCCUUUGUGUUGUGCUGUUUUUAUUUUGCAUUCAUUUUAACUCUACCAAAAAAAUACUUGGUGCUAGCAAUGCUGUCGUGUUAGCAUUCAGCUAGCUAACCUGCAGCCAACAUGUUGCUCCAUCUCUCCACCUGUGUCACCUCAAACUACAGGCCUCGCGCUGGAGGUUCUUACUCCUGGGGACCAACUCCUGAAACUCCCCCAAAGGAUUCCCUCCCAGUUCUUCACUUCACCAAGGAAGCACAGUGCCUCCACGUCAGUGCUGUUCCAGAGUGAACGCAGUGGGACGGGAUGCAGCGUUAAUGCCAUUCAACGAGAACUAUGACUAAGUGUGUUCGUCAAUGCCGCUUCUUCCAGGACUCAGGCGAGGCGAUGACGAGACGGCACAGACGUCAUCAAACACUAACUGAUGUCAACGUGCAAUAUCGCUGACAGAAAAAGACGAGACUGAAGCGGAUCAGAGGAGAAUAUCUUUGUUUGUUUAUUGUCCACUAUAUCACAAUCUCAGAUACAAGCUUUUCUUUAAUACCUGCAGAAUGUCCUGCUUUGUUUUCUGAUAAACGUAGACUUCAGCACCUGUUUGCAGACAAAGUAUUUCACCUAAUUUAGUUAGUUGAACAGCGUAGGAGGACGCUUGUUGUUUGUGUUAAAGGUGCAGUCUGUGCCUCAGAUGCACCCAAGUUCUGUUGUAUAGCUGCCACGUCUAAGGAGAUGGAUUGUCUUCAUAUUUGCUUUGAUAUUGUUUGACUUUGACGUGCAUGGAGGUGUGUUAUAUUAGUUUUUUCGCUCUCAUUAUGUUAUUGCUUCUGUUUCUAUUGUAAAUAUAAGUAAAGAUAUUUAAUUGUGUUUAUUUUGACUGAUAUUGCGAUGGAAUGAUAAUUUAUAUGCAUUAUUAUCAUAUAUCAUACAAAUACAAUAGAAUAUGAUUCGUACACUCGGAUUCUUAAUGCUCAGCCUUACUGUAUGACGUCUGAAUGAGCAUGUGAGGGGUCGUCUUUGACUUCCUUGCCUCUCCAAAGGGCUGCAAAGAUGGUCUGCUGUAUAAAGCCAGUUAUAUGUUGUAUUGUUGGAAAGACUUUCCCUUCACUUCCACUGCAAAUAUCUGAUUCCUCAUGCAUGAUGGGAGUCAGUGCCCACAGAUUGGACACCAGUUGGAAUAAUUGGGUCUAAUAUUUCGGUCGACAAUCGACUAUAAAGUGAAGCGGCAGUAAUCUAGUAUAUACUUUCCUCCAGUCAAAGUUUAAUUAAAAUGCUUAAAACUUGCUUUUGUACGGGUGUUCAAAUGUCUAUUUUAAUGAAGUACUUGUUGUUUUAAUUGACUCUGACACUAAGAAGUGAAGAAUCUUUGUGUAUCUAUGUCGAAACCUUUGGUGACAUUCUUCCUCCCGAAGCAGUUAAAUGACUUUGUAUCUGCGACGGGUUUUAAUUCAGUCAGGUUUUAGCUGUUGCCAUAGAUUUUAUAAAUAAAUCCUCGGCUGUGAGGUUG
RNAcentral lists this long non-coding RNA (1568 nucleotides) under Cottoperca gobio. Its description in RNAcentral is "lncRNA (ENSCGOG00000015655.1)". Lineage: Eukaryota; Metazoa; Chordata; Actinopteri; Perciformes; Bovichtidae. The record is from RNAcentral.